AGUGAACGCUGGCGGUAGGCCUAACACAUGCAAGUCGAACGGCAGCACAGUAAGAGCUUGCUCUUACGGGUGGCGAGUGGCGGACGGGUGAGGAAUACAUCGGAAUCUACUUUUUCGUGGGGGAUAACGUAGGGAAACUUACGCUAAUACCGCAUACGACCUACGGGUGAAAGCAGGGGAUCUUCGGACCUUGCGCGAUUGAAUGAGCCGAUGUGGGAUUAGCUAGUUGGCGGGGGAAAGGCCCACCAAGGCGACGAUCCGUAGCUGGUCUGAGAGGAUGAUCAGCCAGACUGGAACUGAGACACGGUCCAGACUCCGACGGGAGGAAGCAGUGGGGAAUAUUGGACAAUGGGCGCAAGCCUGAUCCAGCCAUACCGCGUGAGUGAAGAAGGCCUUCGGGUUGUAAAGCCCUUUUGUUGGGAAAGAAAAGCAGCAGGUUAAUACCCCGCUGUUCUGACGGUACCCAAAGAAUAAGCACCGGCUAACUUCGUG
RNAcentral lists this ribosomal RNA (492 nucleotides) under uncultured bacterium. Its description in RNAcentral is "partial 16S ribosomal RNA". It matches the Rfam family "Bacterial small subunit ribosomal RNA", at positions 29 to 507 of the family's 1533-position model. The record is from RNAcentral.